This 396-nucleotide transfer-messenger RNA is filed under the name Mycoplasmopsis mucosicanis. Its description in RNAcentral is "Standard tmRNA". It matches the Rfam family "transfer-messenger RNA". Rfam says of the family: Bacterial tmRNA, also known as 10Sa RNA or SsrA, is named for its dual tRNA and mRNA-like properties. Its role is to liberate the mRNA from a stalled ribosome. To accomplish this part of the tmRNA is used as a reading frame that ends in a translation stop signal. Lineage: Bacteria; Bacillati; Mycoplasmatota; Mycoplasmoidales; Metamycoplasmataceae. The record is from Rfam by way of RNAcentral.
GGGGGUGUAAAUGGUUUCGACAUGCAGCGGGUAAUAGUAGCAUCAGUGGUCUGGUAAACCUAAAUACUUCUAGGCUUUAUAGUCGCAAACAAAAAAGACGAAGUUCAAGUUGAACUUAAAGACUUGCUAGCAGCUAACGCUCUACAAGCACAAUCAAACCUAGUUUUUGCGUAAUUUUGCAAUCUAGUGCAUCAAUAUCAAUGCCUUAGGUUAUUGGUGUGGUUUUAAGGCUCGGUUAGAAAUAGGCACACUAUUCUAGCUUAAAUUCAAGUGCACUAAAAGCGUUUAUUUUGUUUAUUUCUAAAUGCUUUUAGAACUCAAAAAUAAACUAAACUGUAAAAAGUGCUGCUAUGUCUUGUUGUGUGGACACGGGUUCAACUCCCGUCAUCUCCACCA